UUGGUGGGAAACUGCCUGCGAGGGUAGGAAGCUGCCACGCUCGGUGCUUGCACCGAGAUUCAACAUGGAACGAGUGGCGGACGGGUGAGUAACACGUGGGUAACCUGCCCUUAAGUGGGGGAUAACAUUUGGAAACAGAUGCUAAUACCGCAUAGAUCCAAGAACCGCAUGGUUCUUGGCUGAAAGAUGGCGUAAGCUAUCGCUUUUGGAUGGACCCGCGGCGUAUUAGCUAGUUGGUGAGGUAAUGGCUCACCAAGGCGAUGAUACGUAGCCGAACUGAGAGGUUGAUCGGCCACAUUGGGACUGAGACACGGCCCAAACUCCUACGGGAGGCAGCAGUAGGGAAUCUUCCACAAUGGACGCAAGUCUGAUGGAGCAACGCCGCGUGAGUGAAGAAGGCUUUCGGGUCGUAAAACUCUGUUGUUGGAGAAGAAUGGUCGGCAGAGUAACUGUUGUCGGCGUGACGGUAUCCAACCAGAAAGCCACGGCUAACUACGUGCCAGCAGCCGCGGUAAUACGUAGGUGGCAAGCGUUAUCCGGAUUUAUUGGGCGUAAAGCGAGCGCAGGCGGUUUUUUAAGUCUGAUGUGAAAGCCCUCGGCUUAACCGAGGAAGCGCAUCGGAAACUGGGAAACUUGAGUGCAGAAGAGGACAGUGGAACUCCAUGUGUAGCGGUGAAAUGCGUAGAUAUAUGGAAGAACACCAGUGGCGAAGGCGGCUGUCUGGUCUGUAACUGACGCUGAGGCUCGAAAGCAUGGGUAGCGAACAGGAUUAGAUACCCUGGUAGUCCAUGCCGUAAACGAUGAAUGCUAGGUGUUGGAGGGUUUCCGCCCUUCAGUGCCGCAGCUAACGCAUUAAGCAUUCCGCCUGGGGAGUACGACCGCAAGGUUGAAACUCAAAGGAAUUGACGGGGGCCCGCACAAGCGGUGGAGCAUGUGGUUUAAUUCGAAGCAACGCGAAGAACCUUACCAGGUCUUGACAUCUUUUGAUCACCUGAGAGAUCAGGUUUCCCCUUCGGGGGCAAAAUGACAGGUGGUGCAUGGUUGUCGUCAGCUCGUGUCGUGAGAUGUUGGGUUAAGUCCCGCAACGAGCGCAACCCUUAUGACUAGUUGCCAGCAUUUAGUUGGGCACUCUAGUAAGACUGCCGGUGACAAACCGGAGGAAGGUGGGGAUGACGUCAAAUCAUCAUGCCCCUUAUGACCUGGGCUACACACGUGCUACAAUGGAUGGUACAACGAGUUGCGAGACCGCGAGGUCAAGCUAAUCUCUUAAAGCCAUUCUCAGUUCGGACUGUAGGCUGCAACUCGCCUACACGAAGUCGGAAUCGCUAGUAAUCGCGGAUCAGCACGCCGCGGUGAAUACGUUCCCGGGCCUUGUACACACCGCCCGUCACACCAUGAGAGUUUGUAACACCCGAAGCCGGUGGCGUAACCCUUUUAGGGAGCGAGCCGUCUAAGGUGGGACAAAUGAUUAGGGUGAAGUCGUAACAAGGUAGCCGUAGGAGAACCUGCGGCUG
This 1514-nucleotide ribosomal RNA is filed under the name Lacticaseibacillus paracasei. Its description in RNAcentral is "bacterial SSU rRNA". It matches the Rfam family "Bacterial small subunit ribosomal RNA". Lineage: Bacteria; Bacillati; Bacillota; Bacilli; Lactobacillales; Lactobacillaceae. The record is from RNAcentral.